Long non-coding RNA from Mastomys coucha (southern multimammate mouse), 2084 nucleotides. RefSeq lists it as uncharacterized. The record is from RefSeq and is a predicted model, not a curated record. The transcript is spliced from 2 exons. Lineage: Eukaryota; Metazoa; Chordata; Mammalia; Rodentia; Muridae.
UGUAUGUGUGUGUGUGAGAGAGUGCAUGUUAGUGUGUGAGCUGUGAGCAUAUACCUCACAGUGUGUAUGUGUGUGUGUGUGCGCGCACGCAGCUAUCUUGAGUGUCAUAGUAAGUGUUCACCUCAUGGGAUUUGCUUGUAAAAUGAAGUUUCUCGUUGUCAGUCAGGAGGUUCUUCUAGUUCUGAGGCUGAUCCUGGCUGCUGGUCAGUAGUGACUCUCCGGACCCUCUGCAGUUCUUAGACUCACAGAUUUGCUAUCCGAGGCUGUGUGAGCUGUGGGACCCAGGGCAGGCCCUUUGCAAUCAAAGCCUGCUGAUCUCCUUGGGUUUGUGGUCUUCAGUACAGAAAGAGGACUCAUGGAUGUGUACUAUUCUAAUGCUGAAGUUGCUUUUUCAUAAGUUUCUGUCAUCUCCUGUUGCCACUUUAAUGUCCGCUGUCUUUCCAACUGUGGGUUUCGAUUGUGUUAGUGGGUUGAGCAUUUAGAAGCCAGAUUGGUAACAGUAUGGUAUAUUAAGCAGGUAUGAUUUGGAUAGGAAGAAACACGGUUGAAAUUCUGUUUGAGUCACGCACUGUGUGAAAAAGCACUUCUGGCCAGGCCGGGUAAUUCGUACAUGCUAUGAAACCUAGCACUUGGAGGCUGAGAUGGGGAGGGCAGAGAAUUUGAGGUCAGCCUGAAUUUCAGAGUGAGUUCAAGGCCAGCCUGAGCUGCCUAGCAAGACUGCAUUUCCACACAAAGUCUGAGCAUGGAAGAAUCUCCUGGUCCAUAAUUUCUUCCCAGCAGAAUAGCCUGAGAUCACUUAAGUUCCUAUUGGGACGACUUGCAUCAAUUUUUCUAACCUUUCUCUUUCCCCUUAGUCUUCACAGCUAGUGGUCGAUGUUAAGGCUUCAUUUAAAGGGUACCAGACUGGUGGGACCGCUGAGCUCCCCCAAGAUUGUAGCAACUAAUGGAGGGAUACCAAGUCAGGGAUCUAGGAUGCCUGGGUGUCUGCAGACUUGUGUCCAACUGUGGCUUCUCUCUCACCCUGGCUUGGCAGCAUUUCCCUAGAAACCUCUAACCGGUAGUGGGAGGCCUAUGGUAUGGUGGCUUGCACUGGCCCGUGGGGUGGAAGCGAGAUCCCGUGGUCAGGAGUGUUCACGACUGUAGGGAGCAUGCCAGGUGGGUGGAGGAGGAAAUUCCAUCCAGAUUAGGCAGAGACCAUGCAAGUCAGCUUGGUAAGCACAAGGAAGAAAGGAAACAGGAAAGAUUUGAAGUGGGGAACUUCCGUUGACCCUUUCACAGUCCUUCUUUGAGUGACUUGUCAGGAAAGUUCUGCUCCAGCCCUCGCUGGGUGAGCCCUCUGUUCUCCAGGCACCGAACGACUGGCUGACCCUGCUUACCUUACACUGGCUUACCUUACGGGCCCUCAUGGGUGUCUGUGGGAGAUGGGCAAGCAUGGAUACAGGUUAAGCAUGGAUACAGGCAAGCAUGGAUACAGGCAAGCAUGGAUACAGGCAAGCAUGGAUACAGGCUAAGCAUGGAUACAGGCAAGCUUUUAUACAGGCUAAGCAUGGAUAUGGCCUAAGCAUGAUAUAGCCUGGCCUGCCUUUGGGGAUAACCCUGGUGAGGCAGGUGCCAGGACACCCCCAGCCCUUGAGCUUUCCCAUUUGACUGGGAGGGAGUACUGGCAGCUGCCAGAGUCCCACUCUCAGUUCCUCAUGCUUUACAACAAAGUGUAGGGCAGCUGGUAGUGCAACUUCAGGAGGCCACGAAGUCCCAAAUUACUCUAUUCCCUGGAGCAAAAUGGUAAUGCUUUCUCUCCCCCUCUCCUUUCCCUGCCCUUCACUGAGAAGCGCGUUUGGACAGGUGAGUUAUAGGUGGACGGACACGGAGUCAAAAAAGAGUUCUCUUCAGCUAAGUUCUUCCAUUCUUUCAUGAUGCCCCGGUGCACUCUGAUAAUCAGAUCUGCUGUCUAUCUGCAUCCCUUUGCGAAGUUGGAACUCGACCCACACACAUUCCCUUACCCAGGAAUGGAAGGGAAGGACAGGCUGGUCGGGUCACAAAGGUGGGGGGAUAAUGCCCAGAAGAACAGUGAGUAGCAAAGGGGG